GACUAUGGCCAUGCCACCCUGAACAAGCCAGAUCCCAUCUGAUCUUGGAAGCUAAGCAGGGUCGGGCCUGGUUAGUACUUAGAUGGGAGACCACCUAGGAAGACCAGGUACUGUAGGCG
Molecule: ribosomal RNA, 119 nt
Filed under: Pteropus alecto (black flying fox)
Lineage: Eukaryota; Metazoa; Chordata; Mammalia; Chiroptera; Pteropodidae
Source: RNAcentral